Zingiber officinale is the source of this 703-nucleotide long non-coding RNA. RefSeq lists it as uncharacterized. The transcript has 4 exons. The record is from RefSeq and is a predicted model, not a curated record. NCBI's taxonomy places the organism in Eukaryota, Viridiplantae, Streptophyta, Magnoliopsida, Zingiberales, Zingiberaceae.
UGGUAGAGAAUGGAAAUUUGGGGCUUUCAUGGAACCCUAGAAACCAAACGGUGGGUGUGAGCUCAAAAACAGAAGGUGAGGUUGGAGCCAAUUCCAUUAAUUGCCUCUCGCCUCAACCGAAGUUGUUUGGUGACUCUAAAUCAAGCUCAUUUGGAGGGCUUGCACAGAGGAUGGCAACAAGAAAAGGUUUCAAUGUUCCAAAGCUUGAUACAGCCAACAUUCCAUCCACUAGCUUGAUACGGGCUUGAGGUGUCUCAUAGUUGGGAAGAUAGAAAAGAAAGAAGAUCUGAUGAGGAGAACUCUGAGGAUGAAAGACGAAGAUUAAGUAUUGGAGCUUUAAAGAAAAAGGCACUGAGUGCUUCUUCUAAGUUCACACAUUCUCUCAAGAAGCGAGGGAAGAGGAGAGAUGUUAAUAGGACUUCUUCUGUUUCAAUCGAGAAUGAUAGGGAUUUGGAAGAGGAGCACGAAGUAUACACAUUCCGCAAGGGGCUAAUUUCUAGGGACUUAUUGCCUGAUAAACAUGACGACUAUCACAUGCUGCUCAGGUUUCUGAAAGCUAGAAAAUUUGAUCGUGAGAAAGCAACUCUUAUGUAGGCAGAUAUGCUUUAGUGGAGACAGGAAUUUGGAGCAGAUACAAUUUUGGAUAUAUACAAUGGUAGGUGUUUUGUCCCAGUCUCAAGCCGACAAUCCUUUUUGAUCAGUA